GGUGGUUCUCCGGUGACGCACCCGAGAAUCGGGCUCACUCCUCUCUGGUUCCAGGUGCAUCACCAGAGAACAGCU
Molecule: non-coding RNA, 75 nt
Organism: Myotis davidii
Lineage: Eukaryota; Metazoa; Chordata; Mammalia; Chiroptera; Vespertilionidae
Source: Rfam